AAUACUGGUUUUGUGCAGCACAACAAAAACUGAUUUUUAAUAGAUUAAGGUGCGUGUACACACACACGCACACAGGGCCGUUUCAACAACUUUAAAGGCCUAAAGCCAAACUUCAAACAGAGGCACUAAUUCUUUUUAAAGCAGAGAUCAUCAUAUAUAUUUUUAUUUAAAGUCUACUUUUCUAGUUUUUUUAGAUACAAAGUUAUUGAUUACUGUUUUAUAAUCGAUUUUUUCUAAUAAUUCCUUUUCAAUUGAUAAUAUAGCUAAACCAUUUAAUAUAAUCUCUCUUGAGAGUUGUUGAUCGUAGAUAAGAUUUAUCAAUUUUAAUUUUGAAAAACUUCUUUCGAUUGAGGCAAAAUUUUAUAUACAAAUUACAUCUUUAAGGAAAAAAUGGGGCCCCUAAAAAAAUUGGGGCCCCAAGCGAUUGCUUUAUUGGCCUUAUAGUCGAGCCACCCCUGCACGCACACACAUGUAUAUGACAAUUAAUAUAAAUGUGGAGGUAAACAUGAGCCUUAACUCUGAUUAGUGCUUUGAGCUGAUGUUGAGAACAAUAAAAAUAGAUUUUACUGAAAUAUUUUUGAGGUACUUGCAACUUUUGUUUCAAGUAAUUUGAGACCUUAUUAUGCAUUUUCAGAUUCUUCCCAGCAUGUGUGCAUUGAGAAAAUCAAUAUUAGCAGGGGUCAUGACACUGUUGUUCUCAAAAGCAUCUAGGACGAGUAUGGAAUUUCCUAUGGGAAACCAACCAUGAUGUCCAUGUUCAAGGGGUUAGGCUUCGGUCUAUUUUGCAGGUUCUGGCAUGGCUUUUGCAAUGAGAUGUCUGGUGGUAUCUCCAAUGUGCUAGUAGAGCAUGUUUACUUGUAUGAGCUAGUAAAAGACCAGCAGAAAGCUACGAGGAAAGACUAUUUUGAACAGAGCAAGAAGUUAAAGAAUAUGUUCCUGGCGUACGAGAAGGACUCUGCUGACAUGCAAUCUUGACGGUGAUAUGAGCAGAUUCAGAAUCUGAAGUCUGAAGAGCCUGGACUUGAAGAAAAUAAUGAGCAAGUUGAAGCAACUGAAAAUCUUAAAGCACAAGUUGAAGCACAAGCGGAACCUAUUCUUUAUUUGUUAAGAGUAAUUUUUAAGAUGUUUUUUUUGUACAUGCUUUAGCUUUGUUUGCUCUUUUGUUAGGAGACAAAUGUAAUGUCAUACAAUGUAGAUGAGUAUAUUUGUUUUUCAAUAUGAUACUAUAUUUCUUUGUAAUUAACUAUGAAAUCUUAAUGGAAUGAUGAUUGUUUGUAUGUC
Molecule: long non-coding RNA, 1281 nt
Organism: Lycium ferocissimum
Lineage: Eukaryota; Viridiplantae; Streptophyta; Magnoliopsida; Solanales; Solanaceae
Exons: 2
Source: RefSeq, a predicted model, not a curated record